Molecule: ribosomal RNA, 468 nt
Filed under: uncultured bacterium
Lineage: Bacteria
Description: partial 16S ribosomal RNA
Rfam family: Bacterial small subunit ribosomal RNA
Source: RNAcentral
GACGAACGCUGGCGGCGUGCUUAACACAUGCAAGUCGAACGGAAAGGCCCUGCUUUUGUGGGGUGCUCGAGUGGCGAACGGGUGAGUAACACGUGAGUAACCUGCCCUUGACUUUGGGAUAACUUCAGGAAACUGGGGCUAAUACCGGAUAGGAGCUCCUGCUGCAUGGGGGGGGUUGGAAAGUUUCGGCGGUUGGGGCUGGACUCGCGGCUUACCAGCUUGUUGGUGGGGUAGGCGCUGCCCAAGGCUUUGACGGGUAGCCGGCCUGAGAGGGUGGCCGGCCUCCAUGGGCCUGCGAUACGGCCCAGUCUCCUACGUUGGGCAAUGGUGGGAAAUAUUGCCCAAUGGGCCCGCGCGUGAUGCGACGGCGCCCCGUGCGGAAUGCCGGCCUUCGGGUUGUGAACCGCUUUCGCCUGAGACGAAGCGUGCGUGACGGUACUGAGUAAAGAAGCACCGGCUAACUACGUG